Molecule: ribosomal RNA, 771 nt
Filed under: uncultured Neocallimastigales
Lineage: Eukaryota; Fungi; Neocallimastigomycota; Neocallimastigomycetes; Neocallimastigales
Description: partial large subunit ribosomal RNA
Rfam family: Eukaryotic large subunit ribosomal RNA
Source: RNAcentral
GUACACGCUGUGACUAGCAUAUCAAUAAGCGGAGGAAAAGAAACUAACAAGGAUUCCCUCAGUAACGGCGAGUGAAGCGGGAAGAGCUCAAAUUUGAAAUCUUCAAGGUUUUACCUUGACGAAUUGUAGUUUAAAGAAGUGUUUUCUGCUGAAGUUUUGGUAAAAGUUCUUUGGAAUAGGACAUCAUAGAGGGUGAGAAUCCCGUAUUUGACCAUUAUUUUCAGCUUUGUGAUACACUUUCAAAGAGUCGGAUUGUUUGGGAAUGCAGUCCAAAAUGGGUGGUAAAUUUCAUCUAAAGCUAAAUAUUGGCGAGAGACCGAUAGCGAACAAGUACCGUGAGGGAAAGAUGAAAAGAACUUUGAAAAGAGAGUUAAACAGUACGUGAAAUUGUCAAAAGGGAAGCGUUUGACACCAGUGUUGUUUUCUGAAAAUCAACCUCUGUUAGCUUUAUGCAUGUUUGUUUAGACCUAAUCAGCUAUCUUUCAUGUUCUAUUGUUUGCAGUGGUGCACUUUUCAGUUUACAGGUCAACAUCAGUUUUUUUUACCGUAAAAAAGUUAAAGAAAGGUAGCUCAUGGCUCCGGUCGUGAGUGUUAUAGUCUUUUUCCUAUGCGGUAGGAGAGACUGAGGUCUGCAGUGUAGGCUAUUUGGCUAGAUACUCAGGUGCUAUGUGAUACCAUUUCAUAAACAACUUGUUGAUUAUGUUUUGUCUAUUGCAUACUCGCUUGUACUAUCAUACCUACGCUUAGGAUGUUGAGUAGCGACAUACGCAC